GAUGAACGCUGGCGGCGUGCCUAAUACAUGCAAGUCGAGCGAACAGACGAGGAGCUUGCUCCUUUGACGUUAGCGGCGGACGGGUGAGUAACACGUAGGUAACCUACCUAUAAGACUGGGAUAACUUCGGGAAACCGGAGCUAAUACCGGAUAAUAUUUCGAACCGCAUGGUUCGAUAGUGAAAGAUGGCUUUGCUAUCACUUAUAGAUGGACCUGCGCCGUAUUAGCUAGUUGGUAAGGUAACGGCUUACAAAGGCAACGAUACGUAGCCGACCUGAGAGGGUGAUCGGCCACACUGGAACUGAGACACGGUCCAGACUCCUACGGGAGGCAGCAGUAGGGAAUCUUCCGCAAUGGGCGAAAGCCUGACGGAGCAACGCCGCGUGAGUGAUGAAGGUCUUCGGAUCGUAAAACUCUGUUAUUAGGGAAGAACAAACGUGUAAGUAACUGUGCACGUCUUGACGGUACCUAAUCAGAAAGCCACGGCUAACUACGUG
Molecule: ribosomal RNA, 497 nt
Filed under: uncultured bacterium
Lineage: Bacteria
Description: partial 16S ribosomal RNA
Rfam family: Bacterial small subunit ribosomal RNA
Source: RNAcentral